Arachis duranensis is the source of this 1701-nucleotide long non-coding RNA. RefSeq lists it as uncharacterized. NCBI's taxonomy places the organism in Eukaryota, Viridiplantae, Streptophyta, Magnoliopsida, Fabales, Fabaceae. The record is from RefSeq and is a predicted model, not a curated record. The transcript is spliced from 5 exons.
AGAGGUGAGGUUUAUCAUUCAUAACUAUAAGCUUCUGAAUGAGAAGUAUAUGUGCAUAGUGAAAGAGGUUAUUAACGACCAAGCUAUAUCACCCCACAUUAGAAGUAACUCUCCAAAAUUGAGAAAUACUACCACAACUGAAGGGAACAUGGGAAAAAGAAAAGCCACCUUAAGGACCUACAAGUAGAAGAAAACAACUACCCCAUCACAACCAUAGACAACCUCGACUACCUGCCAAUUCUGAUGCCGCUUUCUAGUCCAAAAGGCAGCAAGCUCUGCUUCAAACACAGCAACACUGAACCCAUUCUGGAUCGACACCAGGCGCUAGGGGGAAUACGCCUAGGGGAAAGAGGAUGUUGUUUUCCAAAGCGAUCUGAAAUAAGGGAGAAAAAACUUAUGUCAGUAGCAGCUCUAUCCCAGGACUUCAAUAUGAGGCACAACAAAACUUCCUGCAAAUUUGGCAUGUUGAUAGAAGCUAGUGGGGGAAGGAGAUUAGGAAAUUAAUUCCUCGUGUAGAUACCUAAUGACAAGCAUAGCUUAAUUAUAGUAACUUGUAUGCACUAAAAACUUGUAAUGGAUUCUAUGUUAAUGUUAAUGACAACAUGCAUGAAUUUCAUUGCAGGGUAUGACACUAACUUUCUUCCCCACUAACGACAUGAAGAUUGUUGGGCUUGAUCUGUGUGUUGUUGCGUACAUAUUAAACACAAAGCUUGAUAAAGAGUGCUGAUUCUUCUUACAUGUAUGUUAGCUCAAAACUCUACACGGAUCCAUUGGUUCCUUCCGGCAACCUUCUCUGCUAUUUCUUUGGAGGAGGUGAUGGACAAUGAUGACUAGUAUGACAACCCAAAGAAACCCAAGGCACUGUGCAGUGAUUAUAAGAUAAAGGAGCCUAAAUUGAUCAGGCAGAUCCUUGGAAGUAGAUGGUGAUGUAUCACCUGUGGAACUCAUAUAAGCCUAGAAAAUUACUGAGUGCAGCCGUAUGAGGCUCACUGUUGACAUAGAUAAAUACCAUAAUGAGGAGCGCAUCGAGGUCUUCCAAGAUGUAUUAUAAUAUUGAAGGAACUUCACCAAAGGUUCCCCACCUAUAAAGUGACUUACAUGUUCACAGCAAAUAUUUUGAUAAUGCUUUCUUGAAUUACAAAAGUCUGGGUGACGAAUACAUACGGUAUAAUAGUAUGAAUACCAUCUACUUUUGAAAUGGGCAAUGCAUUUGUAGAUAUUUGUUUGUACGACUACUGUGGCUAAACUAAUGUGCCUGUUUGUGUAACCUAUGACACCUAUAACCUACAAAGAUAACAUGUUCAUACAAUUGUUAAUUUAUAAUUAUGACUCUGCAAAUUUUCUAAAACAGAGAAUCAAAUAUGAUGCACAAUCCUAUCGGCAGAAAUUAACCAUAGUGAUAAUCAUUAGCGAUACAAGUACAGUGUUAGGAGUUACAAAUGAGGUUUGUCUAGACAAGCACCUUUCUUGGCCACAGCAUAAAACAAUCAAAGUCUUCAAAGAGUGUGCGAAUGAUACACUCAACUUUUGUAAAGUAAAACUAAACCUAUGCAUGCUUAUGUUAGACUUAAACAAUGUCUUUUGGACCUUUAUAAAUUCAUCAAGAUGAAUCUAGUAUACUUUCAAAAUACUACUUUUAAGGAUGAUGUUAUUCUUUCCGAUUACUCUUUUAGUCUCCAAAAUUUUGCUUGAUCUCUGAAA